CUCCUGCCUGAGGCAGAAAAAUUGGAUCAACUGGGCAGUGUGCUCCCGAAUUUGGGACUCCAGACAUUGUUCGUGGGAAAGCCUGAGGGAAGAGGGACCAGCUCCAGGCAAACCACAGAGCCUGGGCUGGAGAGAAAGAUGAUGCCAUGUUGCAGUGCAGGGGUGAUCUCAGGGGCCGGGGUCCCAUCGGCUCCACACACCAGCCGCCUUUUCCAGGUCCUCAAAGCCAAUGGUGUGCCCCAUUCUUCCACUGAACCAGCAUCGCAUGGCGGUCAUGAGUUAAGGCUUGGGAACCCACAGAUGCCACUUCAUGGCCGAGAAGCCCCUGAACCUGACCUUCCUGACUCCCA
This is a long non-coding RNA of Choloepus didactylus (southern two-toed sloth), 350 nucleotides long. RefSeq lists it as uncharacterized. NCBI's taxonomy places the organism in Eukaryota, Metazoa, Chordata, Mammalia, Pilosa, Megalonychidae. The transcript has 3 exons. The record is from RefSeq and is a predicted model, not a curated record.